UGCGGAGGGAGCUAGCGUUGUUCGGAAUUACUGGGCGUAAAGCGUACGUAGGCGGCUAUUCAAGUCAGAGGUGAAAGCCCGGGGCUCAACCCCGGAACUGCCUUUGAAACUAGGUAGCUAGAGUCUUGGAGAGGUUAGUGGAAUUCCGAGUGUAGAGGUGAAAUUCGUAGAUAUUCGGAAGAACACCAGUGGCGAAGGCGACUAACUGGACAAGUACUGACGCUGAGGUACGAAAGCGUGGGGAGCAAACAGG
This 253-nucleotide ribosomal RNA is filed under the name uncultured prokaryote. Its description in RNAcentral is "partial 16S ribosomal RNA". It matches the Rfam family "Bacterial small subunit ribosomal RNA", at positions 524 to 776 of the family's 1533-position model. The record is from RNAcentral.